This 324-nucleotide ribosomal RNA is filed under the name Triticum aestivum (bread wheat). RNAcentral describes it as "partial small subunit ribosomal RNA". The record is from RNAcentral. Lineage: Eukaryota; Viridiplantae; Streptophyta; Magnoliopsida; Poales; Poaceae.
AUGCAUGCAAUGGUACGCUUUUUUUUCUUUUUUUUCUUUUUUGGUGCAUGCAAUGGUACUCAAUUGCACGUGAGGUUGGUCCUUACAACUCACGCAGCGGCGGAGCUUAAAGGAAAUCUUUGGAGGGGCGAAUCUGUGGACGUAGUGCUGGGUCUCGCUGCAGCAAUUCAAUCCCUUGAAAUUGGCCUUCAUUUGUUUGAGUUUCAUGGCCUUGUUGUUGAGGCAUCGAAGGAUGUUGUCCGUGUUACUCAAAUUCAAGCAACAAUAGAGGAGGCUGAACAGGAGUUGCUUCCGUUGUUGUUGGUUCAUCAGCUUCACAUUUAG